GACUCCUACGGGAGGCAGCAGUGGGGAAUCUUGCGCAAUGCGCGAAAGCGUGACGCAGCAACGCCGCGUGGGGGAAGAAGGCCUUCGGGUUGUAAACCCCUUUCAGUUGGGACGAAGCUUCGGCGGUGAACAGCCGCCUAGAGUGACGGUACCUUCACAAGAAGCCCCGGCUAA
Molecule: ribosomal RNA, 174 nt
Filed under: uncultured bacterium
Lineage: Bacteria
Description: partial 16S ribosomal RNA
Rfam family: Bacterial small subunit ribosomal RNA
Source: RNAcentral